CAGAGUAAAAAAGAGGAAGGCGUCAUCUUUAAGCUGCCCAACAUUCCUGAAAGAAGUGACCGCUGGAAGAAAUAACAUCUUCCGAAGGCUUAUUCACCACAAGACCCUGGAUUGUAGCAAUAAAUUCUCCACAAUCCAGAUCUUCUGACUGAAUCUGCAACCACCUCAACAACACAGACCCACAAGAUCAACUUCUCUGUUAUUGUACUAUCUCUGUCUCUAACAACUUUAAAACUACAUCGACGCUCAAGGUUCAAGAUGGAUGCAGCCUGUGUCCUGUGGGGAAUCGUUUGGCUGAUUAUAUUAUUUUUUAUUGGAUGGCCAAUUAGCAUCUUUUUGGGAGGACUGUAUGGAUUCUUUGCUCCUUUGUUGGUUCUGCUAACUCUGGAUGACGUUAGUGAAAUUUUAUUGAAGGGGGUAAAUUUGGGAGUACAAUGUGCUAAGAAUGCGCGAACAGGAAAGCCCCUCUUUUAACAAUAAACCCUAUCACAAAUCAGGAAAUAAAGUUUCAUUCUGUGGUCUUUAAUGGACUUUGAAAGUAUUUGUGUACAUUCCUGUUUAUUGAUAUUUUACAAUAUUGUAAAGAAAUAUAGUAUCAUUUAAUUUGUAAACUGUAUGAAACCUGGGGAGAUCUAAAUAAGAACUUCAAAUAUUUGUCAGAUCUGGGUUUGAAUAGAACACUAUGUUUGCAGCUCUGAAAACCUAUGUAUUAAUAUCUUUCCUUAGAUACAGUGAUGAAACUUGCAUUCCUUUUAGGGGGAAAGUUGGCUUUUAGCUUCUUGCUCUGCCUUAUAAGCUAUCAAAAGUUCAAAGUUUAAUUGUUUAUUUGUU
Thamnophis elegans (Western terrestrial garter snake) is the source of this 831-nucleotide long non-coding RNA. RefSeq lists it as uncharacterized. The record is from RefSeq and is a predicted model, not a curated record. NCBI's taxonomy places the organism in Eukaryota, Metazoa, Chordata, Lepidosauria, Squamata, Natricidae. The transcript is spliced from 4 exons.